AGGCUUUUAGUCAAUUAUCCUAAAACACCAAUCAUGUCGUUAUAGUAUUUUAUGUUGUCAAUCCAAAUGGGUGUGAUGCUAACAAUCAAGAUGUGAUCAGAAGUCACUAAGUCAAGCCAAUCAAUAACAGGUUUUGGUGUGUUCUAGCAGUCCUAAGUGAACAUGCAAAAAACAGAAAAUCAAAAAGAAACAGUGAAACACUCGACCAACACAGCUCUUUGUAGAGCACUGGGUGAGGUCGAGUGACAGGUCGAGUAACAGACAGAAAAUAAAACACAGAUACUCGACUGCACAGUCUGUUGCCAGACAACUAGGUGGUCGAGUACGAGGUCGAGUAACAAGAAAGAAUUGCAGAAAUUAAGCGACAGAUAACAGGAUGCAGUAAACAACAGUAGAGGAAACAAAGAAUUCAAUCAGAUAAAGAAUUCCCAAGGAUGGGGUAAUUGAGUAGUUUCGUUUCCUCAGUUUACAGGUGAUUGACAUGCUCAAUAAAUUAACCAUAGACAAAAAGUUCAUUAACCAAAUCUAAGUGCCACCGCAACAGAGAUUCUCAAGUUAACCUAGUCUCAGACUCAAUCACCAUUGACGAGAGCUAACCUAACAGGCAUUACGAAUCAACAAGUUAAAGAUAAAACGCUCCCUGUAACCAAUACCUUGGUACAGGGUCACGAAUCUCUGGAAUUAGUGGUUCAGACAUUUCAUCGAACACCUUUUGGGCGCGGAAAUGUCUGGGCUCAAAUUCCAGGUUAUCAGAAAGCAAUAUGCAUUAAGAACAACUAAUCCAGAAGGGAUCUAUCAACCAAUACUCAAUCACCUAGCAUACUGAGAAUUCUAUACUACUCUAACCCAUCCUUAGAAACCUAUUCACUACUCAGACAUCAUAACAGAAAGCAUAAAUGUUGAACAGGUUGAAGACAUGAUAACAGCAGUGUAACAGCAGGAUGAUAACAGAAUGAACAACAGUAAACGAAAAUCAAGAACAAAAGCUGAAUACUGAAUAGAUAAAGAGAAAUCCGGAUUACAAAAGGUCUAGAACACAAAGUCUGCAGAAUAAAACUAAAUAAAAAA
This 1068-nucleotide small RNA is filed under the name Arabidopsis thaliana (thale cress). Its description in RNAcentral is "ATSL272160". The record is from RNAcentral. Lineage: Eukaryota; Viridiplantae; Streptophyta; Magnoliopsida; Brassicales; Brassicaceae.